This 443-nucleotide ribosomal RNA is filed under the name uncultured bacterium. RNAcentral's name for it is "bacterial SSU rRNA". It matches the Rfam family "Bacterial small subunit ribosomal RNA", at positions 354 to 796 of the family's 1533-position model. The record is from RNAcentral.
GUGAGGAAUAUUGCGCAAUGGCCGAAAGGCUGACGCAGCGACGCCGCGUGAGGGAUGAAGUCCGUUAGGAUGUAAACCUCUUUUGCAGGGGAUGAAUGUCUCGCUAUACGCGGGAUUGACCGUACCCUGCGAAUAAGGAUCGGCUAACUACGUGCCAGCAGCCGCGGUAAUACGUAGGAUCCGAGCGUUGUCCGGAAUUACUGGGUGUAAAGGGCGUGUAGGUGGGUUCCUAAGUCGGUGGUGAAAUCCCGCAGCUUAACUGCGGAAUUGCCUUCGAUACUGGGGAUCUUGAGUGCGGCAGAGGGAGAUGGAAUUCAUGGUGUAGCGGUGAAAUGUGUAGAUAUCAUGAAGAACACCGGUAGCGAAGGCGGUCUCCUGGUCCGUAACUGACACUGAUGCGCGAAAGCGUGGGGAGCAAACAGGAUUAGAAACCCCUGUAGUCC